RNAcentral lists this ribosomal RNA (493 nucleotides) under Cassis fimbriata. RNAcentral describes it as "partial 16S ribosomal RNA". It matches the Rfam family "Bacterial large subunit ribosomal RNA", at positions 1845 to 2598 of the family's 2925-position model. Lineage: Eukaryota; Metazoa; Mollusca; Gastropoda; Littorinimorpha; Cassidae. The record is from RNAcentral.
AUAAGGAGUCGAACCUGCCCAGUGAAAUAUUUUAAACGGCCGCGGUACUCUGACCGUGCAAAGGUAGCAUAAUCAUUUGCUCUAUAAUUGAGGGCUAGUAUGAAUGGUUUGACAAAAAUAAAACUGUCUCUUUUUAAUUAUAUAGAAUUUUAUUUUUAGGUGAAGAAGCCUAAAUUAAAUUAAAAGACAAGAAGACCCUAUCGAGCUUUAAAUAAAUUAAUAGGAUUGUAGGUAUAUUUAUUAAAGCAAUAUUUAUUAAAGAUUUUGGUUGGGGCGACAGAGGAACAUAUAAAGCUUCUUUUAAAUAACUUUAAACUGGACAAGUUAUGAUCCAAUAAACUUGAUUAAAGAAAUUAGUUACCGUAGGGAUAACAGCAUUAUCUUUUUUAAGAGUUCAUAUCGAAAAAAAGGUUUGUGACCUCGAUGUUGGACCAGAAUAUCCUAAAGAUGCAGAAGUCUUUAAGGGUUGGUCUGUUCGACCAUUAAAAUUCUA